UACGGGGGGGGCAAGCGUUGUUCGGAAUUACUGGGCGUAAAGGGCUCGUAGGCGGCCAACUAAGUCGGAUGUGAAAUCCCCAGGCUCAACCUGGGAACUGCAUCCGAUACUGGAUGGCUUGAAUCCGGGAGAGGGAUGCAGAAUUCCAGGUGUAGCGGUGAAAUGCGUAGAUAUCGAGAGGAACACCUGCGGCGAAGGCGGGUAGCUGGGCCGACACUGACGCUGAGGCGCGAAAGCCAGGGGAGCGAACGGG
This 253-nucleotide ribosomal RNA is filed under the name uncultured bacterium. RNAcentral describes it as "partial 16S ribosomal RNA". It matches the Rfam family "Bacterial small subunit ribosomal RNA", at positions 524 to 776 of the family's 1533-position model. The record is from RNAcentral.